Vitis riparia (riverbank grape) is the source of this 479-nucleotide long non-coding RNA. RefSeq lists it as uncharacterized. NCBI's taxonomy places the organism in Eukaryota, Viridiplantae, Streptophyta, Magnoliopsida, Vitales, Vitaceae. The transcript has 5 exons. The record is from RefSeq and is a predicted model, not a curated record.
CUUUGUGGUUUGGGUCAAUCUUAGUGGCUUUAGCCAAAUUUGUGUGGAGAAAGCUCUUCACCAAGUAAGCUCUUAGUUUGAUUUUGUAAUUUUCUAAUAUGAAGAUUAGUAGAUUGAUCAGCAUUGUCGGAAGAUGUAGGUUCCUUGAAGAAGAAUAUAUGCUUCCCUUGAAAUUAGUAUGUAUAGUGAUGAAGAAAUGAGAGUUUUGGAUCGAAUCAAAGAUUUAGCAGAAAUUAAGUUUAGAGUAAUUAGUACUUGGCAUCUACUACAUGGAUGCCUAGUAACUGGGAUGAAAAUGACUUUGAUGAAGAAGAGGACAAAAAAGAAGAUAACCAUGAAGAAAUGCAUCUCAAUGUGGAGAACAUAUGUUAUAAGGGUUACCACAAAAUUGAGUAAGGAAGCUGUAAUGGCAAAGCUGAAGUAAAGGAAGUAUAGUUCCUUCAUCAUAGUUGUAUUUGUCAAGUGGAGUAUGCAUUAGA